Chelonoidis abingdonii (Abingdon island giant tortoise) is the source of this 85-nucleotide microRNA precursor. The record is from Ensembl. NCBI's taxonomy places the organism in Eukaryota, Metazoa, Chordata, Testudines, Testudinidae.
GCUUCUCCUCCCCAACAAUAUCCUGGUGCUGAGUGAGUUGCACACGGAGACUCCAGCAUCAGUGAUUUUGUUGAAGAGGGCGAGC